This is a small nucleolar RNA of Bolinopsis microptera, 192 nucleotides long. RefSeq annotates it as small nucleolar RNA U3. The record is from RefSeq and is a predicted model, not a curated record. The transcript has a single exon. Lineage: Eukaryota; Metazoa; Ctenophora; Tentaculata; Lobata; Bolinopsidae.
AAGACCAUACUCGUUAGGAUCAUUUCUACAGUAUGUGUCCCACCUUAGUCUUCUAAACAAGACAACCGAUUCAGGCACGAUGAUGAGGAUGUCCUUUGUUCCUGAGCAUGAAACUCGCUUCUCACGAAGCUUUGAUGACUGUUCACCCUUUGGCUUGUCCAUCGGGGAGGGAGCAAAGGCAGCCUGAGUGGC